RNAcentral lists this transfer RNA (69 nucleotides) under Ictidomys tridecemlineatus (thirteen-lined ground squirrel). RNAcentral describes it as "Spermophilus tridecemlineatus (thirteen-lined ground squirrel) tRNA". It matches the Rfam family "tRNA". From Rfam's summary of the family: Transfer RNA (tRNA) molecules are approximately 80 nucleotides in length. The record is from Rfam by way of RNAcentral. Lineage: Eukaryota; Metazoa; Chordata; Mammalia; Rodentia; Sciuridae.
GGGGUUGUAGCUCAAUGGUAGUGCACUUGCCUAGCAUGUAUGAGGAACUGGGUUUGAUCCCCAGCACCA